Molecule: non-coding RNA, 446 nt
Filed under: Cryptosporidium parvum
Lineage: Eukaryota; Apicomplexa; Conoidasida; Eucoccidiorida; Cryptosporidiidae
Source: RNAcentral
UCGUAUUCGAUAAAUUACUUAAACUUUCCAAUAGUGUUUCUGCAUCAUUAAUAGAUAAUCCAAAUGAGGCUGCCUCAUUCUCUGCCGAUUCAUCAUCCUCCUCCAAUUUACUCUGAUCGAUAAUAUCAUCCAUCCCAAAAUCCUCCUUACUCAACCUCAUCAUUCUACUUGCCUGAAUUCCUCGUGCCUCCUCAUCUUGCAUUUCUACAUCAGACCAGUUCUCUCCCUCACUAUCUGUACUUGAAGAACCUCCGUCAUAGAAAUCCUGUUUUUUGUUCCCCCAGUCCUUAGUAUUUGAUUCAUCUUCAUCCUCAUCACUAUCAUCCUCUUCACCUUCUUCUUCAUAUUGGUCUUCUCCUUCACUAUCAUCUGAAGAAUCAUAGUCAUCAUCGAUAUUCAUUACCUCCAACUCAUCAUUGCUAGUACUAUCAUCUACUUCUUCCUCC